RNAcentral lists this long non-coding RNA (1112 nucleotides) under Numida meleagris (helmeted guineafowl). RNAcentral describes it as "lncRNA (ENSNMEG00000000660.1)". Lineage: Eukaryota; Metazoa; Chordata; Aves; Galliformes; Numididae. The record is from RNAcentral.
GAUAGGGGAUGCACGGAUAGGGGGGACGCACGGACACGGGGGGACGCACGGACACGGGGGGACGCACGGACACGGGGGGAUGCACGGACAUGGGGGGAUGCAUGGACAUGGGGACACACGGACAUGGGGGGGCACGUGGGUACAUGAGGACGCGCGGACACGGGGGGAUGCAUGGACACAGGGGGGCACAUGGGUAAAUGAGGACACAUGGACACGGGGACGCACGGACAGGGAGGGAUGCAUGGACACGGGGACGCACGGACACGGAGGGAUGCACGGACAUGGCGAGACGCACGGACACGGGGGGGCACAUGGGUACAUAAGGACGCACGGACACACGGACACGGGGGGGCACAUGGGUACAUGAGACACACGGACAUGGGGGACAGAGACACAUGGGGACAGGCGGACACAGGGACAGGCGGACACACAGGCUAAAGGAUAGGGGGACAUGGGGACACACAGACACGUGGGGACAGAUGGACAUGGGGACAGGGGGGGACACAGCCAUGGGGACACAGGGAGGGACAGGAACAGGCGGACAAAGGGACACACAGACAUGGGGACAGACGGAUGCAGGGAUGUGGGGACGGGCGGGCACACGAACAUGGGGCCAAACAGACACAGGCACAUGUGGGCCCACGGACCCGGGGACAGACAGACCCAGGGACAGGCGGACUCGGGGACAGACACAUGGGGACAGGCGGACACACAGGCUUAGGGACAGGGGGAUAUGGGGACGUACAGACAUAUGGGGACAGGAGGACACACAGGCACGGGGACACGGGGAUGGACAGGGACAGGCGGACAGAGGGACAGGCGGACAGAGGGACAGGCGGACAGAGGGACAGGCGGACAGAGGGACACACAGACAGGCAGAUGCAGGGAUGUGGGGAUGGGCAGACACACGAACACGGGGCCAAACAGACGCAGGCACAUGUGGGCCCACAGACCCGGGGACGGACAGACCCAGGGACAGACAGACCCGGGGACAGACGGACCCAGGGACAGACGGACCCAGGGACAGACAGACCCAGGGACAGACAGACCUGGGGACAGACGGACCCAGGGACAGACAGGCCUGGGGACAGAUGGACUCGGGGACAGACGGA